RNAcentral lists this ribosomal RNA (253 nucleotides) under uncultured bacterium. RNAcentral's name for it is "partial 16S ribosomal RNA". It matches the Rfam family "Bacterial small subunit ribosomal RNA", at positions 524 to 776 of the family's 1533-position model. The record is from RNAcentral.
UACGGGGGAUGCAAGCGUUAUCCGGAAUCACUGGGCGUAAAGCGUCUGUAGGUGGUGAUGCAAGUCACUGGUGCAAAACUCUGGCUCAACCGGAGGAAAGCCAGUGAAACUGCAUGACUAGAGUGUGGGAGAGGUAGAAGGAAUUCCCUGAGUAGCGGUGAAAUGCGUAGAUACAGGGAAGAACACCGGAGGCGAAAGCGUUCUACUGGACCACAACUGACACUGAGAGCCGAAAGCUAGGGGAGCGAAUGGG